AUUGAACGCUGGCGGCAUGCCUUACACAUGCAAGUCGAACGGCAGCACGGGUGCUUUCACCUUGUGGCGAGUGGCGAACGGGUGAGUAAUACAUCGGAACAUGUCCUGUAGUGGGGGAUAGCCCGGCGAAAGCCGGAUUAAUACCGCAUCCGAUCUACGGGUGAAAGCGUGGGACCUUCGGGCCUCGCGCUUUAGGGUUGUCCGAUGGCUGAUUAGCUAGUUGGUGGGGUAAAGGCCUACCAAGGCGACGAUCAGUAGCUGGUCUGAGAGGACGACCAGCCACACUGGGACUGAGACACGGCCCAGACUCCUACGGGAGGCAGCAGUGGGGAAUUUUGGACAAAGGGCGAAAGCCUGAUCCAGCAAUGCCGCGUGUGUGAAGAAGGCCUUCGGGUUGUAAAGCACUUUUGUCCGGAAAGAAAUACUUGGCCCUAAUACGGUCGGGGGAUGACGGUACCGGAAGAAUAAGCACCGGCUAACUACGUG
This 486-nucleotide ribosomal RNA is filed under the name uncultured bacterium. Its description in RNAcentral is "partial 16S ribosomal RNA". It matches the Rfam family "Bacterial small subunit ribosomal RNA", at positions 30 to 507 of the family's 1533-position model. The record is from RNAcentral.